This 1001-nucleotide ribosomal RNA is filed under the name Promicromonospora sp. Its description in RNAcentral is "bacterial SSU rRNA". It matches the Rfam family "Bacterial small subunit ribosomal RNA", at positions 34 to 1079 of the family's 1533-position model. The record is from RNAcentral. Lineage: Bacteria; Bacillati; Actinomycetota; Actinomycetes; Micrococcales; Promicromonosporaceae.
CGCGUGCGGCUGCUUACAAUGCAGUCGAACGGUGAACCCAGCUUGCUGGGUGGAUCAGUGGCGAACGGGUGAGUAACACGUGAGCAACCUGCCCUCCACUUCGGGAUAAGCCUUGGAAACGGGGUCUAAUACCGGAUAUGAGCACUCAUCGCAUGGUGGGUGUUGGAAAGUUUUUCGGUGGGGGAUGGGCUCGCGGCCUAUCAGCUUGUUGGUGGGGUGAUGGCCUACCAAGGCGUCGACGGGUAGCCGGCCUGAGAGGGCGACCGGCCACACUGGGACUGAGACACGGCCCAGACUCCUACGGGAGGCAGCAGUGGGGAAUAUUGCACAAUGGGCGCAAGCCUGAUGCAGCGACGCCGCGUGAGGGAUGACGGCCUUCGGGUUGUAAACCUCUUUCAGCAGGGAAGAAGCGCAAGUGACGGUACCUGCAGAAGAAGCGCCGGCUAACUACGUGCCAGCAGCCGCGGUAAUACGUAUGGCGCAAGCGUUGUCCGGAAUUAUUGGGCGUAAAGAGCUCGUAUGCGGUCUGUCGCGUCUGGUGUGAAAUCCCGAGGCUCAACCUCGGGCUUGCAUCGGGUACGGGCAGACUAGAGUGCGAUAGGGGAGACUGGAAUUCCUGGUGUAGCGGUGGAAUGCACAGAUAUCAUGAGGAACACCGAUGGCGAAGGCAGGUCUCUGGGCCGCAACUGACGCUGAAGAGCGAAAUAUGGGGAGCGAACAGGAUUAUAUACCCUGGUAGUCCAUGCCGUAACGUUGGGCACUAGGUGUGGGGCUCAUUCACGAGUUCCUGCCACAGCUAACGCAUUAGUGCCCCGCCUGGGGAGUACGGCCGCAGGCUAAACUCAAGGAAUGACGAGGGCCCGCACAGCGGCGGAGCAGCGGAUUAAUCCAUGCACCCGAAGACCUUACCAUGCUUGAAUGUACGAGAACCGCUAAAAUAGCGGACCUUUGGACACUCUAUACGGUGGUGCAUGCUUCGCCGCCCUGUCAGAAAAGUUGGG